GUUUGCAUAAAAAUGUACAGCAUAUGGAAAAAUCAGGAAAAAAUGUGUGUUCUAUUUAUCUUCAAGAUAUCUCCCCAAGUUUCCUCCUGGAGGUGCAAUUGUUUGUAAGAGCUUUUUCAUGUGAACACAGUAGUUUCUCUAUUUUAUUUAUUGUUCGCACCUUUAUGGAAAGUGAAAGGCCAAGAGAGGAUGGCAGGCUGCGGGCUAUCGGAAGAUGCCUUCUUCUCCUCUUUCUUUUACAACUACAGCUCCUCCUGGGAAACCUCCUACAACCAGCGAGAUCCAGAGGAUGGAGCUGGUGCGUUACCCCGAACAACUCCAGGCACAACAAGGCAACUCAAGCGAAACCUCUGAAGUCUCCUUCGGUGCUUUUUGCCCGUUCUUCCUUGCUGCCUGGUUGCCUGUUAGUUGGGUCCUGGAGUGGGUGGGUGGGAUCCAUGAUCUAAGAUCCAAGACUUGCUGGCAGUGGAACCUCUCCCCCUUUCCCUGUCCCAUUCCCGCUCCCCUCCAGCCCGCAAACCGUUUCUUUCCCAUAAAAUGGCUGCAUAUGCAAGUAAAGCAUCCCUAACCCGUCUGGGUGGGAGUAGUUGAAGGCUUCUCUCUACGCCCCCGCACCUAUCCCCCUCCUACCCCCACUUAACUUUGAUGACUGUGCAAUGCAGUCUGGCUGCAUCCCUUCCUCAGGAGCUGCUCUCUGCCUCUAG
RNAcentral lists this long non-coding RNA (704 nucleotides) under Phascolarctos cinereus (koala). RNAcentral's name for it is "lncRNA (ENSPCIG00000004019.2)". The record is from RNAcentral. Lineage: Eukaryota; Metazoa; Chordata; Mammalia; Diprotodontia; Phascolarctidae.